CUCACCAGUGGGAGCUGAUAGAUAAGACUGCUCUCAUCCAUUGAAGAGCUGACCAGAAACGUGAACAGAGAGACUGCAACUGCACCUGAUGGGAUCCCUGCCAUAACAGUGAAGGCAGUGGAGAAGCCCUACACUGAUCUUGAAACUGUGCCACGCUAGUAGAGACCGGCUACAAGGAUGGGCAGCUGUUUUCGCAAAGUCAGCCAACCACUUGCUUCCAAAUGACCCUUAUCCAGAAGUAUCCGUGAGUGCCUCAUCAACAGAAAAUAAAGUGGAGACCUACCUCUCAGAGAAAAACGCACACAUAAGAAAAGCCGACCCACUUCAGUACUGGGAAGAACAUCCUAAUCUGUUUCCCUCUAUGGCUGCUGUUGCGAUCCCAGUGUGCCCCCUGUAGCUCUGUGGACAGUUUUGGAUUUGUUUACAUCUCACCCAACCGCUCACGGCAGAUGGCUGCACCUCUCUAAGCCUGGUUCUGCCGGAGGUUUCUUCCUGUUAAAAGGGAGUUUUUCUGAACACACUCUACCACCAACAAGGACAGCUCACCAGUGGGAACUGAUAGAUAAGACUGCUGAUGUGCUCUCAUCCAUUGAAGAGCUGACCAGAAACGUGAACAGAAAGACUGCACCUGAUGGGAUCCCUGCCAUAACAGAUGUGUUCUGUCCAGUGAAGGCAGUGGAGAAGCCCUACACUGAUCUUGAAACUGUGCCACGCUAGUAGAGACCGG
Molecule: long non-coding RNA, 727 nt
Organism: Oreochromis aureus
Lineage: Eukaryota; Metazoa; Chordata; Actinopteri; Cichliformes; Cichlidae
Source: Ensembl